ACAAUGGCGGGGUGCCUUACACAUGCAAGUCGAACGAUGAUGCCCAGCUUGCUGGGCGGAUUAGUGGCGAACGGGUGAGUAAUACGUGAGUAACCUGCCCUUGACUCUGGGAUAAGCCUGGGAAACUGGGUCUAAUACUGGAUACUACCUCUUGCCGCAUGGUGGGUGGUGGAAAGGGUUUUACUGGUUUUGGAUGGGCUCACGGCCUAUCAGCUUGUUGGUGGGGUAAUGGCUCACCAAGGCGACGACGGGUAGCCGGCCUGAGAGGGUGACCGGCCACACUGGGACUGAGACACGGCCCAGACUCCUACGGGAGGCAGCAGUGGGGAAUAUUGCACAAUGGGCGGAAGCCUGAUGCAGCGACGCCGCGUGAGGGAUGACGGCCUUCGGGUUGUAAACCUCUUUCAGUAGGGAAGAAGCGAGAGUGACGGUACCUGCAGAAGAAGCGCCGGCUAACUACGUGCCAGCAGCCGCGGUAAUACGUAGGGCGCAAGCGUUGUCCGGAAUUAUUGGGCGUAAAGAGCUCGUAGGCGGUUUGUCGCGUCUGCUGUGAAAGCCCGGGGCUCAACCCCGGGUCUGCAGUGGGUACGGGCAGACUAGAGUGCAGUAGGGGAGACUGGAAUUCCUGGUGUAGCGGUGAAAUGCGCAGAUAUCAGGAGGAACACCGAUGGCGAAGGCAGGUCUCUGGGCUGUUACUGACGCUGAGGAGCGAAAGCAUGGGGAGCGAACAGGAUUAGAUACCCUGGUAGUCCAUGCCGUAAACGUUGGGCACUAGGUGUGGGGGACAUUCCACGUUUUCCGCGCCGUAGCUAACGCAUUAAGUGCCCCGCCUGGGGAGUACGGCCGCAAGGCUAAAACUCAAAGGAAUUGACGGGGGCCCGCACAAGCGGCGGAGCAUGCGGAUUAAUUCGAUGCAACGCGAAGAACCUUACCAAGGCUUGACAUUCACCGGACCGCCCCAGAGAUGGGGUUUCCCUUCGGGGCUGGUGGACAGGUGGUGCAUGGUUGUCGUCAGCUCGUGUCGUGAGAUGUUGGGUUAAGUCCCGCAACGAGCGCAACCCUCGUUCUAUGUUGCCAGCACGUGAUGGUGGGGACUCAUAGGAGACUGCCGGGGUCAACUCGGAGGAAGGUGGGGAUGACGUCAAAUCAUCAUGCCCCUUAUGUCUUGGGCUUCACGCAUGCUACAAUGGCCGGUACAAAGGGUUGCGAUACUGUGAGGUGGAGCUAAUCCCAAAAAGCCGGUCUCAGUUCGGAUUGAGGUCUGCAACUCGACCUCAUGAAGUCGGAGUCGCUAGUAAUCGCAGAUCAGCAACGCUGCGGUGAAUACGUUCCCGGGCCUUGUACACACCGCCCGUCAAGUCACGAAAGUUGGUAACACCCGAAGCCGGUGGCCUAACCCCUUGUGGGAGGGAGCCGUCGAAGGUGACCGGGGU
This 1433-nucleotide ribosomal RNA is filed under the name Kocuria rosea. RNAcentral's name for it is "bacterial SSU rRNA". It matches the Rfam family "Bacterial small subunit ribosomal RNA". The record is from RNAcentral. Lineage: Bacteria; Bacillati; Actinomycetota; Actinomycetes; Micrococcales; Micrococcaceae.